GAUGAAGAACGCAGCGAAGUGCGAUACUUGGUGUGAAUUGCAGAAUCCCGUGAACCAUCGAGUCUUUGAACGCAAGUUGCGCCCGAAGCCAUUAGGCCGAGGGCACGCCUGCCUGGGCGUCACACGUCGUUGCCCCCCCCAUCUACUCCUUCGGGAUUGCGGGGGGCGGAUGAUGGCCUCCCGUGCGCCUCGCCGCGCGGUUGGCAUAAAUGCCAAGUCCUCGGCGACGCACGCCACGACAAUCGGUGGUUGCGAAACCUCGGUUGCCCGUCGUGUGCGGUCGUCGCGCAUCGAGGGCUCGAAAAAAUUGCCGAGUUCCGGCUCGGCUUUCAACGCGACCCCAGGUCAGGCGGGGUUACCCGCUGAAUUUAAGCAUAUCAAUAAGCGGAGGA
This 392-nucleotide unclassified non-coding RNA is filed under the name soil metagenome. Its description in RNAcentral is "partial contains 5.8S ribosomal RNA, internal transcribed spacer 2, and large subunit ribosomal RNA". The stretch from base 1 to 122 matches the Rfam family "5.8S ribosomal RNA", at positions 35 to 154 of the family's 154-position model. The record is from RNAcentral.